Molecule: ribosomal RNA, 509 nt
Filed under: uncultured bacterium
Lineage: Bacteria
Description: partial 16S ribosomal RNA
Rfam family: Bacterial small subunit ribosomal RNA
Source: RNAcentral
UCCUACGGGAGGCAGCAGUGGGGWAUCUUAGACAAUGGGCGCAAGCGUGAUCUAGCCAUGCCGCGUGAGUGAUGAAGGCCUUAGGAUCGUAAAGCUCUUUCGCCAGGGAUGAUAAUGACAGUAYCUGGUAAAGAAACCCCGGCUAACUCCGUSCCMGCAGCCGCGGUAAUACGGAGGGGGUKAGCGUUGUUSGGAAUUUCUGGGYGUAAAGCGCACGUAGGCGGAUCAGAAAGUAUGGGGUGAAAUCCCAGGGCUCAACCUGGGAACCGCCUGAAAAACUCCUGGUCUAGAGUUSGAGAGAGGUGAGUGGAAUUCCAAGUGUAGAGGUGAAAUUYGUAGAUAUUGGGAGGAACCCCAGUGGAGAAGGCGGCUCASUGGCUYGAUASUSACKCUGAGGUGMGAAAGAGUGGGGAGCAAACAGGAUUAGAUCCCCUGGUUGUCCACMCYGUWCACKAUGAAUGCCAGUCGUCGGGCAGUAUACUGUUCGGUGACACACCUAACGGAUUAAG